RNAcentral lists this ribosomal RNA (497 nucleotides) under uncultured bacterium. RNAcentral's name for it is "partial 16S ribosomal RNA". It matches the Rfam family "Bacterial small subunit ribosomal RNA", at positions 28 to 507 of the family's 1533-position model. The record is from RNAcentral.
GAUGAACGCUGGCGGCGUGCCUAAUACAUGCAUGUCGAGCGAACAGACGAGGAGCUUGCUCCUCUGACGUUAGCGGCGGACGGGUGAGUAACACGUGGAUAACCUACCUAUAAGACCGGGAUAACUUCGGGAAACCGGAGCUAAUACCGGAUAAUAUAUUGAACCGCAUGGUUCAAUAGUGAAAGACGGUUUUGCUGUCACUUAUAGAUGGAUCCGCGCCGCAUUAGCUAGUUGGUAAGGUAACGGCUUACCAAGGCAACGAUGCGUAUCCGACCUGAGAGGUUGAUCGGCCCCACUGGAACUGAGACACGGUCCCGACUCCUGCGAGAGGCAGCAGUAGGGUAUCUUCCGCAAUGGGCGAGAGCCUGACGGAGCAACGCCGCGUGAGUGAUAAAGGUCUUCGGAUCGUAAAACUCUGUUAUUAGGGAAGAACAAAUGUGUAAGUAGCUAUGCACGUCUUGACGGUACCUAAUCAGAAAGCCACGGCUAACUACGUG